Molecule: ribosomal RNA, 478 nt
Filed under: uncultured bacterium
Lineage: Bacteria
Description: partial 16S ribosomal RNA
Rfam family: Bacterial small subunit ribosomal RNA
Source: RNAcentral
GACGAACGCUGGCGGCGUGCUUAACACAUGCAAGUCGAACGGUAAGGCCCUUCGGGGUACACGAGUGGCGAACGGGUGAGUAACACGUGGGUGAUCUGCCCUGCACUUCGGGAUAAGCCUGGGAAACUGGGUCUAAUACCGGAUAGGACCACUGCCUGCAUGGGUGGUGGUGGAAAGCUUUUGCGGUGUGGGAUGGGCCCGCGGCCUAUCAGCUUGUUGGUGGGGUGAUGGCCUACCAAGGCGACGACGGGUAGCCGGCCGGAGAGGGUGACCGGCCACACUGGGACUGAGAUACGGCCAAGACUCCUACGGGAGGAAGCAGUGGGGAUUAUUGCACAAUGGGCGCAAGCCUGAUGCAGCGACGCCGCGUGAGGGAUGACGGCCUUCGGGUUGUAAACCUCUUUCAGCUAUGACGAAGCGCAAGUGACGGUAGUAGCAGAAGAAGGACCGGCCAACUACGUGCCAGCCGCCGCGGUAA